GUUUACUGGUUUGAUCCCGUCGUGCCUGAUAGAAGGCAACGGCCUCCUGCGUGUGUUGAAUCUAAGAGGGAACAGAUUGCUCCGUGGGACGACAUUGCCUAAUAAUAUUAGCCGCGAGUGUCCUCUUCGGACGCUAAUUUUGAACAGCAAUGGGAUCGAAGGGCCGCUACCAAAGUCUUUGGCCAACUGCAGCAUGCUCGAGGUGCUGGACUUGGGGAACAAUCGGAUAGUCGACAGGUUCCCAUUUUGGUUGGGGAAUCUCUCAAUGCUCCAAGUCCUUAUCCUUGGCUCCAACAAAUUCUAUGGCUCUGUCGAACUUCCUCCGCAAGGUGAAAGAAGUGACUACCAUUUCCCGAGCCUGAGAAUUCUCGACCUCUCCUCAAACAUUUUCAUUGGUAACUUGUCGUGGAGCCUCUUCGAGAAUCUUACAGCCAUGAUGGUCACUAGCUCUGCGGACAUGGAAGUUUUGGAAUUUAAUUAUGUGGUAUUUCCCAGUUAUUCUGAUUUUGAUGUGGCUCCUUAUCUUGAUACAGUUGUGGUGAUUGACAAAGGGCAGGACGUAACACUUGCAAAGAUCUUGACAGCAUUUACGAUGAUCGACCUUUCGAGCAACCAAUUCCACGGUGCAAUCCCUGAGGUGAUCGGGAACCUCCGCUCGUUGCGAGGGCUAAACAUGUCGCACAACGCCUUCACCGGAGGAAUUCCUUCUGGAUUUGGGGGCUUGGCGCAACUCGAGUCUUUGGACCUUUCUUCCAACCGACUCUCGGGGGAGAUUCCGGAGAGUUUGACCUCCCUGACCUUCCUCGAGUUGUUGAAUCUCUCCUACAACUCUCUAGUGGGGAGGAUACCGCAAGGCAAUCAAUUCUUUGCGUUCCCAAAUAGCUCAUUUGAGGGGAACGUGGGAUUGUGCGGGCGCCCCCUAUCGAAACAAUGCAAUACUGAUUCGAGUUCGACGUCUCCUGCACCAGUUUCACCUUCUUCGACAUCCAAACACAGGGCUUGGAAACACAGAGUUGAGACAAUCUUAUUGUUCCUCUUCGUCGGAUUAGGAUUCGGGGUCGGUUUUGCAUCGGUGAUCGUGUUUCAAGUGGUUUGCAGAUCUGGAAGAAUAUGGCUAAACAAGCUUUUCAUCAGGCGUUAGAUUAACCAAGAUUGAUUCCUCUUCUACUUGAUGUUUUAUUUUUGAUGAACGAAUAAGAAAAUUUGGUCAAAUAAAUGAAUGUUGGUUGCGAUUGUUUAGAACAAAACUUUUGAACAAUUAAAGAGAUAUGUAACUAGCAAAGUUGUUAGCUUUCUUUUUUUGCUGUUCUUUGAAUGCAUCAAAUAUUUGGAUUUGCUCGAAUGUUCUUACAAACCGAGUUUUCCUGAGACUAGUUUUAAUUCUAAAUUUAUGAUCGAACAUUAUUAAGAUACAAUAAGAGUAGCAGCUCCCAUGGAAAGCACUUAACAUUAAAGCACCUCAACCUUUCAAAAAAACAAAAAAAUGUUUUUUUUUUUAAUAAUUAUUAUUAUUUUGUGUUCAAUUUGAAGAAGCAUAAUACUUGAAUUAAUUAUUUACCCAAAAGGCCAAAACAAAUUAUUGCACUUAGGAGUUGUAUGCUACUGUGUUGAGAGCGUAGAAUAAGAAACCAAAAGGUAUACUAACGCACCAUUAAUUGGCCUCCAACGUUUAUUCCUUUUAUUAAUCCAACUUUUUUCUUUUUUUAAUAUCUUGCUAUUAAGUUCCUAUAUUUCAUAUUUUAUUUCAGUUUAGUCCCAACCAAUCGUAUUUUUGCUAAUUUUAACCCAAAAAAAAAAACCACGUCAACUUCAAUAAAGCCCUGUUUGUUUAUGCAAAUCUCAGUCAUAAUCCAAUAGCAUUUGGUCAAUUCCGACACAGACUUUCAGAUUUCUGAAAAAGUUUGAUAACAUGCCCCGUUAGUUUACCUUUUAUUUAUAAAUACGCAUUGUGAAUAAAAUUAAAUACUUUUAACGAGUUAUAUUUACCUGGAAAUAUAAAUUAAGUAAUUUGGUUUCAAAAUUGAGAUCUCGAGUAUCAAUUAUCAAGCCUUCUGCCACUUGCGCUUCGGACGAUCGGUAGAUUUUCUGACGUCAAUAGUGAUAGUUGGAGAAUUAAAAUAAAUCCUCAUUGCAAUUCAUCCAUAAAAGGAGUUAAUUGGACCAUCAGUGACUGACCUUCAUAAUCUCGUUUUNNNNNNNNNNNNNNNNNNNNNNNNNNNNNNNNNNNNNNNNNNNNNNNNNNNNNNNNNNNNNNNNNNNNNNNNNNNNNNNNNNNNNNNNNNNNNNNNNNNNGACUUGCGAUGUGAAAGAAAAAGAGAUUUAGUAGACCAACUUUUUUUACCUAUGUGUUUGAGGUCUUUGAUUUUAAAUUUGAGCUAUUUCCGGAGGGAUAAAAGAUAGUUAAAAGAUUCAGCUCUCUAUAUAUACAUAUAUUCUAAUGGUUUUCUAUGAAAUGCGUUUUGAUAAAUAAUGCUCGAUACAAGGCUCUUGGCUACAUAUUAAAGGCACCAUCGGCUGAUCUCGAUUUGCUGUCUUUGCACAAUCAACACAGGUCGAGUUGAUAUUCUGUUAUGAUAGAUGGGAACCUCUUUAGGUUUAUAACAUAUAAGCUCGACCCUUCUAAUUUCUUACGAUAAAAAUUUUUCUCCGAUACAAACUCUUGAUUAAGUGGCAUUAACAUCACAUUUGACACCUAAGGAAGGUACAACCCAACUAUCUUUAUUUCAAGUAAAAGCUAUUCAUUCAAAUCCUGACUUUGAAUCUAAAAUCUUGUUAUUCCACUUUAAUCAAUACUUAAAGUGCAUAUCUACUUUGAUUGGUACCCAAAAUGCAUCUCCUUCACCGAUUGUUUCACUUUUGAUGAGCUUUUUGAUAAAAUGUAUUCUCGAGUGCGGAUUUUCUUCUAUACGUAGGUGUGGCAAAAGUUAGGCUCAUUAUUAUUUUUUAUACUUUAAAUUCUGGUUCAUACAUCUUAAUCAUUAUUACACCAUCAAUCACAAUAUUAUCACGUCACUCUGUUUUCAUGCUUAUAAAUGAUACUUCAGUAAAAUAAAACUGCCUAACACCUAUAUGAAAAUGCACUAUACUGUAGUAUCCCUUUCUGUGUUUAUCCCCUUUUUUUUUGAGAAUUAGUUUGGACAAAAUUUACUAUUUCAUCCUUGAUCUUGAAUUAGAGGGACCUUAGUGGGACACUGGGAGGAUACAUCACGGAUCAAGCAUCUUGUGACAAAAGAUAUAAAUUUGGCCCUAUUCUUUUAAGGCAAUUUGAUGCAAUGUCGUUUUCAAGAGAAAAUAAUUCUAAAAUAAAAUAGCAAUUAAUCUUAAAAAAUUAGAAAUUAUGUAAUGUUCGGUAGAAAACAUUCUACUUUGACCUUACUGGGGGUGGAAACUAGGGGUGGAAACGAGCCGAGCUCGAGCGAGCUUAUCUCGGAUAUAUAUAUAUAUAUAUAUAUAUAUAAUUUUUUAUACAUUUAUAUAAUAUAAAAUUAAUAUAUAUCCGACUCACUUAUUAGCCUCAAAUCAAUUUUAACCCGGUUAUAACAACUGGGUAUUUUUGUUUGAGUUAUCUGUUUAUUUUCUAGUUUUAAAGUGAUUUAAAUAUGUAAAAAGGAAAGAAAAAAAGAAAGUGUCUCGAGAUUUAAAAAUUAUACAAAGAUAGAAAGAGAAAAAGACAGAGAGUGGGAUUCACCGGUUCGGCCUUCGGGAGGUUCAAUGGUUCAUUGUCGUAUAUGGGCGGUAACGGAUGGAACGAUAAUUAACAUACAAACUCUUUUAUAUGUUUUAUAAAAAUGUCAUUCUUUUAUAAUAAGUAUAUUUUAAAAUUAAAAUCAAUAUAUACUAACCUAUCAAAUUAGGUUAUAAAUAGAUAUAUUAAAUAAAUAAAAACUAACAUAUUUACUUUUACUUAUUAUACCUCUAACUUCCGCUUUCUUUUCUAUACACUCUGCCUUUUCUUAUCUAUAAGUUGAGUUUUAAAAAAAAAAAGUAUAAUAUUAUGAUAUAAAGUAUAUGAAGAAAACAUGAAACUUGAUAAACUGUAUAAAAACAUAGUUUAAUAUCUAUUAUAAGAUAUGUUUAAUUUGAUAACUAGCAUACUACAACUCUUAAAGUUCGCCGAGCAAAUCCCGAGCUCGAGCGAGCUGAGCUUUGAUCCGAGCGAGCUCGAGCCGAGCUUAAUUAAAGUUAGGUUCGAACUCGAAUUUAAAUCCGAGCUUUAAUUAAAGUUCGGCUUAAACUCNUUUUAAUAGUUUUCUAUGAUAUGCGUUUCGAUAAAUAAUGCUCGAUACAAGGCUCUUGACUACAUCUUAAGGGCACCAUCGGUUGAUCUCGAUUUGCUGCCUUUGCACAAUUAGCACAGGUCGAGUUGAUAUUCUGUUAUGAUAGAUGGGAACCUCUUUAGGUUUAUAACAUAUAAACUCGACCCUUCUAAGUUCUUACGAUAAAAGUUUUUCUUCGAUACAAAAUCUCAAUUCAGUGGCAUUAACAUCACAUUUGACACCUAAGAAAGGUACAACCCGACUAUUUUUAUUUUAAGUAAAAGCUAUUCAUUCAAAUUCUGACUUUGAAUCUAAAAUCUUGUUUUUUUUUUUUGAGAGAUAGAUAGCACGCUAUCCGCUUCGUUUAUUUCAUUUAGAAAUAAACUUAGCUAGAAAUGUGAAUCAACUAGGAUUCGAACUUGGGUCUCGGAUACCAAUCACCAAGCCUUUUGCCACUUACUUUAGGGACGGUCGGUGAAUCUAAAAUCUUGUUAUUCCGCUUUAAUCAAUACUUAAGUGCAUAUCCGCUGCAGUUGGUACUCAAAAUGCAUCUCCUUCACCGAUUGUUUCACUUCCCACAAACUUCUUGACAAAAUAUAUCCUCAAGUGCGGAUUUUCUUCUACAGGCAGGUGUGGCAAAGUUAGCCUCAUUGCCAUUUUUUAUAAUUUAGAUUCUGGUCCAUACAUCUUAAUCAUUAUUACGCAAUCAAUCACAAUAUUAUCACGUCACUCUGUUUUCGUGACAAUACUUAUAAAUGAUACUUCAAUAAAAUAAAAUUGCCUAAAACCGAUAUGAAAAUGCACUGUACUGUAGUAUCCUUUUUUGUGUUUAUCCAAAUUUUUUUUGAGAAUUAGUUUGAACAAAAUUUACUAUUCCAUGCUUGAUCUUGAAUUAGAGGGACCUUAGUGGUACACUUGGAGGAUACAUUACGGAUCAAGCAUCUUGUGACAAAAGAAAUAAAUUUGGCCCUAUUAAUUGUUUAAGGCAAUUUGAUAGAAUGUCGUUUUCAAGAGAAAAUUAUUCCAAAAUAAAAUAGCAAUUGAUCUUAAAAAAUUAGAAAUUAUGUAACGUUAGGUAGAAAACAUCCUACUUUGACUUUACCAAUCAAAUUGCAAGGCCUAGUUUACCACAUCAUCUAUGGACCGGAUUGACCAAAAUGCAACAUUUAAAAAAAAAUAAAAAUAAUAAUAAAAGAAGAAAUUAAGACAACUUACUAGUUUCAAACUUGGUACAAGGGCUCCGAACAUGAAAUUAAUUUUUUUGCAAUCUAAAAGAGAUAGUAAUUUAACUAUAUCUAUGUUUUAUAGAAGUAUAUUAAAUUAAAUCUGAUCAAAUUCAGCUACUGAAUAAUAAUCAAAUUAAAAAAGUUUUCUGUCAAUUUCAAAAUCAAAUAUCUCAAUAGCAUGUCUAUUAUAAAAAGAAUUUGCUUAAUGAAAAAGAAAAACACACACACACACACAAGAAUUUGCUUAAUGAAAAAGAAAAACACACACACACACACACAUAUAUAUAUAUACAUAUAUAGAGCUAGACUACUAUACUAUCGGUAGCACGGAGUGUCCCGUGCUACCAAGUUGUUUUCGAUGAUGCGGCGACUCUAUAUAUAUAUAUAAAAUAAGAAACUAAAAGGCUUUAUUUUAUGUACAGAAAAUUGGCGAGCAACUAUACUGCUCAACGGUGAGAAAUAAUAAUUGCAUAAUUACUUUAUUUAGAAAUAAUAACAACAUUCAAUCAUCUGAUAUGGGCAAUAUUUGUUACAAAUUAUUUUACUAACAAGUACUUUUUAAUUUUAAAAAUUAUUAUAUUAUUUUUGACUAAAAUUUUGUAACUUCAUAGCACAGCAUAGUUGAUUGUGUGCAUAUCUCAUAUAAGAAAAUGAUCACGUCAAAGACUAUUAAAGAUGUUCAUUUACUUUUAUAACUUCUAUUUAGGUUGAUUAGUGCAGUACAAAUUAAACUGUGUGCGGCCCAUCAUAUUUGAUACAUAAGUGAUCUCUUAAAAAAAUAGUAUAGAGUGCUCCGUGGUACCUAAACUAUAGAUUCUUUAAUAGAAAUUAAUAAAUAUAUAAAAUGGGAUUAGAUGCUCUUGUAUCCCUACAAAACAAGGAAAUAUAAAAUUGCUACAAAAUUUUAUAUCUUUAAUAAUAUUCCUCCUAAUUUUUAAAAGUUUAUUAAUAUGUCCUAGACAACUACCAUCAAUUGACUAUUAAAUUUUAAAUAAACACUACUUGUACGCCCAAUUUGCGUGUUAAUAUUAUACCCUCAUCUACCAAAUGGGUGGCAGUGUUUGACUUAUUAUCUAAUGUGACUAGUAAAUUAAGUACGCUUUUCAUUGGAUUGGGAGGGUGUAGAUUCAAAUAGGGUUUAUAACUAGCAUAGCUCUAAAUUUUAAUAUUAUGAUUUUUUUGCCUUUCAAAAAGUAUGGUUAGUUGUUGUUGUAAUAAUUUUGUAUUUAGGAUUCAUGAGAAUAACAUUAUAGUUGUAACCAAAAUAUUAGAAUUAAAAGUUGAUGAUAAAAUAUCUUUCACGCUCCAGAGUUUAUUUUUUUUUAACAAAAAAGAUGGCUAUAUUUUUUUGAAAUACAAGAGUCACACGAGAAGCCAUCUAGAUAACUUUGAAAUACGCUUUAAACAAACCCAGACGUGUAUAUACCUGCCACAUACAUAGAAUUUUUUUGUCUACACAAGUAAACUCUCUCUUAUACAUACACUGCAUCCGGCACCGAAAUUACUAGUAACACUUCACAUUUGUAUUAGAUAACAGUAUCAAUAUACAUAAUUAUAAUCUGAGACAAUUAUACAAGUAUGAUUUACACUAAUGAUUCUAUAGUAAGAUAAUGGUAUAUCCCUGCAAACUCCGCCGACAUAAGAUAAUGGUAUAUCCCUCAUGUCUUUGCAAUAAAAAAACAAAUCUCCUCCAAUCUCUUUUUUUCAAAUUAAAGCCAUUUUGAAAACCACAAUCGAAAAACCAGCAACCACCACCACAAUCAUUCAGCAUUAUUUAAAACAUAAAAAGGAAUUAAUCACUUUUUCAUUACCCACAAAGAACAAUUGUGAUUAAAAGUAAAGGUUUUAGCUACUGUCCAUCCAACUAAAAAUUAAGGUAUCGUUUGGUUCGGAGAUAAGCAAAAAGUGGGUAUUCCGGAGAUAGGUAUAAAUUGAGGUAUAAGCGAGGAUUAGAUCAAUUUUGCGUUUGGAUGAAAAUUGAGCUAUUGCUGGGAAUAAGAAAAAUAGCGUUUGGUUAGGUAAGAUAGGAUAAGAAUUAAAGUUGGCAGUUAAAAAUAAAAAAUAAUGAUAUUAUCUUUUUCUUUAUAUUAGAAUUUAAACUUUUAUAUUUUAUAUUUAUAUUUUAAAAUUUAAAAUAUAAACUUUUGAAUUUUAAAUUUAAGAUUAAAAUUUUAAAUUUUAAAAUCUCAAAUUUACAAUUUAUUAAAAGAUCAAAAUUUUAAAUUUUAAAUUAAACAAUUUAAAAUUUAAAAUUUUAAUUUUAUAAUUUUAAAAUUACAAAUUUUAAUUUUUGAAUUUAUAAUUUAAAUUUUAUAAUAAAUUAAAAAUUCUCUCUCUCUCUCUCUCUCUCUCUCUCUCUCUUUAUGGGUGGAACAAGUAGGGUGAUCCUAAAAAUACUUUUUUUAAAAUUCAAAAAUUAAAAUUAAAAUUUUUAAUUUUUAAUUUCAAAAUUUAAAAUUAAAAAUUUAAGAUCAAAUUUAAAUUUUAAAAUAUAAAUAUCAAAUUUAUAUUAAAAAAUAUAAAAUUUAAUAUUAAAAUUUAAAAUUUAAAAUUUAAAACUAUAAACUUGAAUUUUGAAAUUACCAAUUAUAAAUUUUCAAAGCUAAAAUUAAAAUUAAAAUUUUUAAUUUUUAAUUUUUUUAAAAAAAUAGGGGUGGGAACAAGUUGUUCCCACCCCUAUUCUACCUAAGGGUGGGAACUAGCUAUUCCCACCCUUAACGUUCCCACCCUUAACGGACGUUAAGGGUGGGAAUAGCUAGUUCCCACCCUUAAAAAUAGUAUUUGGGGAACAAGGGAGGGAUAACCUCUUAUCCCCACCCUUGUUUCCCAAUCAAACAUGACCUAAAUGUUUUCUCAGAAGGGAUGUAGUUAGCUAUUGCAAUUUUUACGUAACGUUUCCUUCCUCAGCACCUAACAUAAUUAUAAGAAAAAGAGGGUAAGGUACAAAUGAAUGAAUCCUAGUGGGUGCAACGCGUCGGCAAUCCUAGCAAGUUAUACCAACUAUUCUACAAUAUUAAUCAAUGAAACAAUCAGCAAGAGAAGUAAUAAGAUAAACAAUAAAAUAGGGCGGCGAAAUAUAAGUAUAAUGAUAAUGAACUGAAAAUAUAAACUGAAUAAUAUAAUACCUGUAAUAUGCACCAGCAUAAGUUUCAGUCGAAUAAUAUCAAAUCAAACCACUCUUGGUCCCAAAAAUCUUAGGCUCAUGUUAUGAUAAGUUACUUAAUUAACUGGACUAAUAUAUAUAACACCCUAUACUAGAAGGUAUAGUGGAGGCUCAUGGGUCAAUCAGACCACUCCACUAGUAAAAGAAACUAGUGCGGGGGCUAAUUCAUCAGUGUAUGCGAAAUGUGUAGCAGGUGCAUGAUGUUACAAUGCAUAAUAUUCAAGCAACAUAAUGGUCAAAUGACUGACAUUCGGCAAGAAGCCUACGAACUCUCAAUAGAAAUAGCAACAUAGCCCACAAGGCCACUAUAUCUAUAUAUAUCUGAAUAAUCAUAAUAACCUACUCUACUAGUCAUAGAAUAACUACAAAUACAAAAUUUAUAGCAAGAAUGGAACUACACUCAGGGGUAGGUAUAAUGCACAAGUAUGGUGUGGCAAGAAGUAUAAUAUAUAGCAAAAUAAGAAUAAUUAUAUCUGUGCAAAAAACCUAAGGAUCAGACGGUUUCUAUGUAAAUUUUACUCUUAAAUUAAAUAUUCACAGUUUGAAUCAUUAUACCGUUUAGAAAAAAAAAGAUUUUUUUUGUUUUUUAAAUUAUGAUCAGUGUAAAGUGGCCCAAAUGUUAGGACAAAAUAUUAACUUGAUAAAUAUUAUUAAAGUGGCGCAAAAGUUAGAAUAAAAAUAUUGAAUAGAAAAAAUAUUAUUAUUAAUUAAAUAUAAUUAAGAAGAUAUAUAUUCAACGGCAAAAUAUGUAUUUUGUAAUCAAGGGCCAGCUUUAUACGUUCAAUUAAUCAAGAGGGAUAUAUUUGUAAAAUUUGUAACUUUUUGAGAGAUAUGUGGUAAUUAAAAUUUUGUAGGGCUAAGUAUGUAAUUUCAUUUCUUUAUAAGGACACCUGUGCAAUUAAUAUUGAAAUGUUCGCGAGUCUAUGCUCGGAAAUCGAAAAGGAAAAGAAAAGACUCGGCAAUUCCGAUCGAGAGCGGGAGAUGAUGGCGAGGGCUCCGAUGGUGGAGGACGAUUACGAGGUACUAUUUGGAUUCGAUUCGAGUCGAUCCCUCUACGCUCAAAUAGAUCGCUUCGUCGUGUAAUUUUUGUCUUAUAUUAGGGUUUUAAUGUAUGAGAUCAUGUUUUUUUUUCUUUUUUUUUUUUGGGUGGUAAUUUUGCCGCGUAAUUCGUAAUUUUUGUGUAAUUUGCGUCCAAUAAUCUGUUUCUUGCGUAGAAACCCUCGGAUUUGAACUCAGGAAAGGGAAAUUAUUGAGUAAAUUUAUGUAUAGAGACUCCUAAAUCCCUAAAAUUAGGUCAAAUGAUCUCUCAUCUUGAUUUGAGCGAUGUAGUCGAUUAAAUUGGAUAAUCUUAUUAAAUUUAUUGGUGAUUCCAUUGAAUUCGUCGGCGUUGACGAGUUUUUAGAAAAUUAAACUGAAGCAAUUAACAGCUAAACAAAUAAUAGUUAAUAGAGCCACUGAAUUUAAAAGAAUUUUAAAGUUAGCUAACUAGAAUAACUUCAAAUGAAAGAAGAUAAAAAGAUGUUGAAGAAGCAUCAUAAGAAAAAACAAACAGUUGAGCGAGCUCCGUUCAAAAUGGCCUAUAGUUGAGGGGGUUGGAGUGCUUUUUUUCUUGAAUUAUUGCUUUCAUAUGGUGUUUCUGUUCAUUUCAUUUGCUGCUUUCAAUAUUUGGCGAUUUUUGCCCAAAAAUCAGAAAUCUAAUCUGAUAAAUUGAUCUACAACAUCUAAAAUGCUUAUGUGCAAAAAAUUAUAAGUUUUAUCAUGUAGUGCGAAAGUUAACAUAAAUUGAAUUACAAAUGAAAUAGGUGUCCAAAUAUAUGUAGGUCUUCUCAAUGUUAUAUUAGGGAUCUACGGACUAAUUUCUGAUUUAUGGCCUCUUUGGUAUGGUUUGAGGGAGUGGCACAUAAACUGUGCGAUAAGAGAAGCUAGGAGUUUGAAUCUUGUGAUCUUAUUAAUAGCAUUAGAUUAUUGUAAGUAGUACAUAGAAUAUCUUGUGAUUUAUAAACUUGUGUCAUGUUUAGAUGUAGUGGAAUUGUAUUAGGUAUGUUAAGUUUCACUUCACUGAUGUCUUGCAACAUUUGAGUACUUGUAACUUCAAUGUGAGUGAAGGAUGCUUAGUUGUGAAAUAAGUCUUAUACUAAUUAAAAGCUCACUAAAAAUAUACGGGGGUUACCUGAACUAUAGGCCAUUUGUAAAUAGCUACCAAAGUUUAAAAGUUUAAGUUUGAAUACAUAAUCUUUUGAAGUUCGCAUUUCAGUCCCUCCCGACGUCCCUAAUAGCUCUAUAAGUUAUUGCUUCUACCCAGUGCAUUUGUACAUCUGUAUGAGCCUCUUUGUCUUCUUCCCUUCAAUUGAUGUUGUACUUGAAUCUCUACCAUUCACCACACUGCAAUUCUUUUUUCUUGAAAAAUAUGAUCAUUUCUUGCCUCUUAUGAUCAUGCUCAUAAUUGUAGGUUGAUCAAGUACAGAAUGAGACCAUGUAUGUGUGAACUGCCCUUUUGUAACUGCUACUUGUAUAGUUCAACCUUUCUUUCGUUUUUCAUCGUUCUCAUCAUGCUACUAGGUUGAGAAUGGUGCCUUCUUUGAUGUUUGCAAAUUUGCUUUGAAACCAUUUCUCUCAUUUAUUUGGCAUCUUAUUUAAAUUGGUUAGAAGUGUUUACGGACCAAAUCUUUUAGAUGAUUGGCUGUCUUGCACGUCUUCUUCCACCAUUGUAGUUGGACAUCCUUCAACUAGAUGAUGAUCAAUGUUUCAUUUCUAAGAGAAUAUUUGACUUGUACUUGUGAAUCUCUUCCUACCUAAACUUUCGAACGUAACUAAAGCUAACUGCUUGAUGAUAGGCCUAUUGUAAUUGACCUAUAUAGGCAGAGCCCAUAUUACUAAUAUUGACCAACCAUACUCCUUAAUUAACCAUUAACUCUGCCAACAUCUUCUAACUAAGAUGAGUAGGAAUCAAAUCCUUAGGAAUCCCUUCAUUCUUAGUAAUCUUUCAUAGCGCGAGCCAAACAAACCCUUAAAGUAAUUGUCUUACAAACACUAGGUAAUCUUGUUUAUGGAUAAUGACUAUUUUUUUUACUAUCUUUUAUUUAAUGGUUUCACAAUUCAAAUGCCUAUAUAUACCAAUGGAUGAGAUGUUUGACUUGCAUAUUUCUGAAUACUUAUGUCACUUACAAUAUCUUUGAUUCAGGUAGUACUAUCAAAUUAUGAAAGUUAGAGACUUCUUUGGUGGAUACCUGCACAAGAUUCUCAUACUGAACAUAUUUAGUAAAAAAUAAAAAAUAUUGUUCCAGAUGAUUAGAGGAGUCAAUAAACAUAUCAUGCCGUGUUUGAGGCCUCAGCGCCUAGGCGCGACUCGCGAGUCUCAGUGCCUUAAGGAGUGAGGCACACGCCUCAGAUGCGCCUUGUGAUAUUUACGCUUAAUGUGUCUAGGGUUUGGGUUUUCGGUUUUGAGUUCCUUCAAUAUAUUCUAAAGUGUUAAGAAUUUUUUUUAAAAAAAAAUUCUAAUUUGAACGUUUUUUUUCCUUUUCUCUUGGCCGUUCUCUUUUCCACCCUCCAAUGGCAAUAUGUAGUAGCGGCAAGAAGCAAGAAGCAGCAGUAAGCACUUUUAAGUUGAAAAUUGAAACAUAAUUUUUUUAUUUUUAGGCUGAAAACAUUUAUGCAUGCUAUUUUCUUACUUUUUUAUGGUUAUUUUGUUUUUGUAUUGCUAUUUUAGAAUUUUUUAACAUAAAACAUCCAUUUAAAAUAGGCUUGUUAAGAGUGUUUUAUUUUUAUUAGAUAUGCGCCUCACCUUCUUGAGGCGCGCGCCUCGCGGUGCGCCUCGCACCUAAGCUCCAUAAGGCCUUUGCGCCUUGCGCCUUUUCAAACACUGAUAUCAUGUGUCUUUUCCAAAAAGAAAAAAAGAACAAACAGUAUGUUGUUUUGCAAAAAACAUGAUAUGUGGAAUACUUCACAAAAGAACAUUCAAGAUCUUCUCUGAAAGGAUUUGGCAAAUAGGCAAAAUCUUUAAGGCACAUAGCUGUGAUAUAGGAUUUGGCUUGUAGAUAGGUAAGCCUGGCCGGGUUUGCUAGGUUACUCGGGGGGGUUGGGUUCACAUUGAGCCUCCUUGUUGUCAGGUUGGGUCUGGUUCGGGUUUGGCCCGUACUGAGUUACUAUGCCUCCUCAACCUGACCUGAUUGAGCUGCAGGUUGGGACCGGUUCUGAUUUGGCCCGUUGAGCUUACUAUGCCUCCUCAACUCAACCUGACCAGACCCACCACCAAUCCAAUUUAUAUGACACUAUCCGCACAAAUAGAAAUACUUCGAUAUUGCCGCAUGCAUUUAGUCAAAUAUGAUGGUCAAAUGGCUUUUUAAUUUGAUCGACUUUGUGUAAACAAUAAAUUUCAUAGAUAUCUACCUUCAUUUGAAUUUUUAUGCCAAUUCUCUUAUCUAUCCAGUGUUGCAUCUAUCAUUUCAGCCCAAUUGCUUUUGCAAAGUUAUAGGUUGGAAUCAUAUUCUGUUACCUUUAAAACUACUCCCUUAUCCAUAGGGCCUCUUCCAAUUGUUGUUUGUGGUUAUCCUCUCACAUGUAUAACCAGUUGAUUUUGUGCAUGCAGACUGAAGAGAAAAAGCAAGCUGCUGCUGAUGUUCUCUAUCACUACUCGCAAUUUGUCAUGGUAUGCAUUGGGGAAGGAGUUCGACCAACUGAUCUUAGGUUGCACCUAAUGAAGGUAUAUAUUAAUUCGCUUCACUAUUCAUUCUUUUCCUCUCUUUCUUUUCUUCAUCUCUGAUUCCACGGUAUUGCAUUGUGAACUUGGGAAUAAUUUGGAUGUUUAUUGUGUUGUAUUAAAGGUUUUAAGAUUUAAAUUCAGGUAGCAUAGGAGAUAAGUGUUUGCAUUCGAAAUUAGCUAUAGUGCUUGUUCGUAUUUUGUAUUUGUGGCCUGUGAAAUCUUGGACUGAAACUUAAUAACAGAAGCUGAUGUACACAGAAGCUUGUGCCAGUCCUUUGGUAAUGUCUAUGCUACUAUAAUAUCUGUAGAAUCUGCCAAACGAAUUCCUUGCGCGUUGUUGUUUAAAAAUAUAAAAAAAAUCUUGUGUAGCUACAAAGAAUAUGUACAUCAUUAUCUUCGCCUGAGACUUUUCCCAGUAUUUUAGACUUAAAGCUGGUUCUCAACUUGAGAUUAAAUCCCUCAAAACGAGAGGCUUGGGAUGGAAAUUUAAGGCCUUUUUGGAGUAGUCUGCUUGGUGCAGGUUUUGGUCAUGCUAGCCAUGCACCAAUCCUCGAAAACGUGCUGUAGAUAUUGAAAGAUCUUAUGAGGUGUUCGUGUAUUUACCAAAUUAUUUAUCUGUAUCCAUUCUUUUGUCUUAUCUUCAGAAGCAGCAUAAUAUACUUUUUAAAUGAAUCUGCGCAUCCUAUAAUGGAUAUGGAGUUUAAGAAGUGGGUUGUUAUUUGAUGAGUACAUAGUAUGCGGUAGUAAUGUCUAAUGGUCACUGUCUUUAUCAGACUUGUAGUUUUAAACGGUAUUUUUUUUCUAUGUCUGUCUGUCCAUCCGCCCUUCUAUCUGUUCUGUGAGACACAAGAUUUCUCACCAUGCAAUCUGCGACAGCUAAAUAAAACCUUUGAUAUGUAGUAAUUUGAAUAAUCCGUAUGUAAUGAAUAAUCAGCCAUACGGGCAACAUGCCAGCAUGUUUGGAUAUAAUUAUAAGGGUUAUUUGCAUACACGUCCCUGCAAACAUAGUGAAUUGCGAAAAUAUCCCUGCAAAACGGAAACUCCAUAAGUUGUCCCUGCAAAAGUCCUAAGUUAUGCAGAUAUGUCCCUCCGGUUAACAUCCGUUAGUGAUCCGUUUAUUUUUUAACAGUGGAUUCGUGAAAUGACCAUUUUACCCUCUCAAAUAUAUCCCUCCAAAAGUCUUCCUCUUCCCCUUCUCUUUCUCUUCCUCUUCGGACCGUCGAAGCAGACGACGGCGGCGGCGGCGGCGGCGCGAGGUCGGGUUCGCCGGCAACGAAGAAGAGGAAAGAACGCCGGGGCACCGGAGCUCUACCUAGAGCUCGUCGCCCUCAACGCCGUCUCCUCCCUCGUCGGCCUCCUCGGCGCCGACAUCGCCGUCGACGUCGUCUCCCUCCUCACCGACCUCACCGACGCCGACGUCCUCGGCGACCACGACGACCCCGCGCACGCCCUCGUCGCCGCCCUCGUCGACAACAACGCCCUCGAGCUUCUCGUCCAGAAACUCGCCCGCCUUUCCGAGGCCGACCCCGACGAGGUUCUUCUCUCUCACCGGUGACGAAGAAGAGGGAAGAGGAAGAGGAAAAAGGAAGAAGGAAGAAGGAAGAAGAAGGGAAAAGAGGAAGAGGGAAGAGGAAAAGGAAGAGGGUUCGCCGCCGUCGUCGCCGUCGCCGCCACAUCUCCUCGCCGGCGACGAAGAAGAAGGAAGAGGAAGAGGAGGAAGAGGAAGAAGGGUAAAUACGUCAAUUCACACUAUACUUAACCAUGGUUACGUAUUUUAACCGUGGUUAACGAAAAAUUUCUAACAGAUCUGGACGGCAGGGACAUAUCUGCAUAACUUAGGACUUUUGCAGGGACAACUUAUGGAGUUUCCGUUUUGCAGGGAUAUUUCCGCAAUUCACUAUGUUUGCAGGGACGUGUAUGCAAAUAACCCUAAUUAUAAAUACAGUGUAAAUAGCGACACAUAAUUUUGGCUUGCAUUUGUUGCAAUUGUAUCUAUCUCAUUUUGUCGUAUGUAGUUGAGAGUACUACAACUAGAAAUUUUCUAUUUGGUUGCAUGCAAUUGGAAGCUGCACUUGUAGAUCUUGUCAUUUUAUAUGUAAGAUGAUGAUAUCACACCCAACAUAGAAAAUUUUGGCCUUUUUUGUUUGUGAUGCGAGUAUGUAGGUAAUAUUGUUCCUAAUACGGAAGUACUCUCUCUUUACUGUCUCUCUCUGUCUGCUGCAUUUCCAUGUAAAUGCAUGCAGUAGUUAAGGCUUCGUCUAAUUGACCUAACUGCACUGUUUAGGUACAAAUGCCCCAAACCAAGCAGAAUUUUUGGGUUUUUGCUGUUAUACCUACUGCGCAACUCGAGAUGCGAACAAACAAACAACCCAUAGAUUUAUUGAUUUCUCUCUCGUUCUAGGUGUCUACAUCUUUGCUGAUAUUGGAAUUGAUAUAUAACUGGAAUUUUCUGCAGGAACUUUCGGGAAUGCCUUCAUCUUUGAAGAAAGAGCCUUUUCCUGCAUCUUCUUCUCCCGAUUCCAUAGGUGCAUCAUCGUCGGGGAUGGCGAAAGGCGAGAAAAACAAACUAAGCUCGUAGGCUUUUCGCAUCGAAUCAGAUGCAUGUAGCAUCAGUUGUUCGCGAUGAGAACUAUCAAAAAAAGCACCCGAGACGACGAAGUUCUGUAUUCCAGCGAGCAUCAUUUUGUAAAUAACAGAAACCGAGCCAAACUAAUGCACCAGUUUUUGAUGCAAUAGCUGGAUUGGUAAGUCUUUUAGAUUUUUUUUGUUUCUUUUAAUUUUUUGAUAUUGUACUUCAAAUCGAUUGGUGACUGAUCUACUUCUCUUCGUUCGGUCAAUGAAAAACACUUACAUAAGUGGUUUCUAUAUCUUCAUAUGUAGCCCACAAAUUUCACUUUUACAUGUAUUAUUUCCUUGUGUACCCCUUAAAAGCUACAGUUUGUAUCUAUAUUCUUAGAGAUGCCUCAUAUUUGCAUAUAUACCCCUGGAAAUUGCUCAAAUGCUCUUAGCAAUAGCUCAUAUUUGUUAUUUGCCCUUCUUAGGAGCCUCUUAUGCUGAAAAGGUUGCACUAGGGGACAGACGUAUGCUAAUAUGAACUUUUUUUAGGGAUACAAGUGCCAAAUGUUGCUUUUGAGGGGCAUGCACGCUAGUUAUUUUGGAGAGUAUACGCAAAUACUAUUGCUUUUAAAGGAUAGAUAGAUAUACAAUUUUAUAUAUUUUGAAGUGUAUAUAUGCAAAAGACCCUAUGUAAUAUUCUAAUGAACGAUGAUAAUCGUUCAGACACUGCAAGAAAAAAGAAUUGGUCAUUCAAUUGUCUACUACAUCAACACCCAGGCAAUAAGUUUCCUCUAAAAGGGGCCCCGUAUAACAUAAUUUCCAUUUGCCUUCCUUUGCUUUGAAUUCCAGAGUCCUAUUUUUUUUUCUGUAUAUGAGUUAUGUUUUAAUCGUGGGUUGGUCAAUGCGGACGACUAAGAGUCGAAGUCAGUCAACUCCUCUUCUUCCUCCUAUACUUCUCUCUACUUGUUCUAAUUCGGUAUUUAUAUUCUCUCCGCCUCCGUUUUCUUCGUUUCAUCUAGUCAAUUGUAUGUCCUCUGUCUUAUUCGAUGGGUUUCUGCCACCGAUCGCUCUUUCUCCCUUUGUUCUUUCUGCUCGCCUCUGUUUUGUCCUCUAACGGCAGCGCUACCGUAACUGCCUGAUGCCUUCCGACUGAGGGCUCUCUUCUUUUACAAUUGAAGCGAGAGCUCUAUAGGUCGAAGCAAGACUAUAAUUCCAACCUCAUAUCUUGGCAAUACGGAACCGAUUGCUGCCGCUGGGAAGGUGUCGUCUGUGACCCCGUGUCAGCUCAGGUCACCUCCCUCGACCUUAGUUGCUAUGGAAUUUCCGGUAAGAUCGUCUCCACGUCUGCUCUCUUCAACCUUACCUCCCUUCACUAUCUCAACCUUGCCUGGAACCGAUUUUGGACUGCCCUCCCGGCUUCUGGUUUGGAGAGGCUCACUAAACUUACCCACCUGAACAUCUCCAAUUCCAAUUUCGUUGGUCAGGUUCCUAUCGGGAUCGCUCACCUGACAAAUUUGAUCUCGCUUGAUCUCUCUGGAGGCUAUGUUGCAAGCAGCGAUUUUAUUGUGAACACAAGCAAUCAAUUGAUACUUCAUGACCCAAGUCUUAUAACUUUGAUUGGAAAUCUCAGCAAUCUGAGGGAGCUCUAUCUCGACGGUAGUUUCAUAUCAAGCGAAGGAUCUGACUGGUGUCGUGCCCUGUCUGUGUCGGUCCCUCUACUUCAAGUUCUUAGCUUGCCAGGUUGCUCCCUCUCUGGUCCAAUUGAUCCGUCGCUCGCGCGCCUUUCCUCUCUAACUACUAUCAACCUUGAGUACAACAACUUCUCUUCCACUGUGCUAGAAUCCUUUGCCAAUUUCUCCUCUCUAAGUAGUCUUCAACUCGCAUCAUGUAGUCUUAAAGGUUUGUUUCCACAAAAAGUUUUCCAAUUCAAGAAUUUGACUCUUCUCGAUGUAUCCGACAACCCAAUGCUUUUUGGAAAUUUACCCGAUUUCCACCUUGAUAACUCUCUCGAGAUCUUGAUGCUCGGCGGCACCCGUUUUUCUGGUGCCAUACCGAACUCGAUUGGUUUUCUCAAGUCCUUGACGAAACUAGACCUUUCAGGUUGUAACUUUUCGGGGCCCAUACCCUCUUCGAUAUUCACCCUUACACAAUUGUGUUAUUUAGAUCUUUCGUCCAACAAUUUUAACGGCACCUGUUUUACUGGUGCUACACCAAACUCGAUUGGUUAUCUCGAGUCCUUGACGGUGCUAGACCUUUCGGGUUGUAGCUUUUCGGGGCCAAUACCCUCUUCGAUAUUCACCCUUACACAAUUGCUUCUAUUAGAUCUUUCGUCCAACAAUUUUAACGGUACGGUGGAACUUGGCUCAUUUUGGAACUUAAGGAAUCUCUCGUAUUUGUCUCUCUCAAAUAACAAAUUGACGGUGAUUGAUGGAGAAUAUAACUAUUCCUCCGCACCCUCCCCUCAGAUUUCCAAUUUGUACUUGGCAUCUUGUAAUCUGACAAAGUUCCCUGUUGCCCUGAUGUAUCUACCUAAUUUGACUGACCUUGAUCUCUCAAGCAACCAGAUUCAUGGCGCCAUACCAUUGUGGAUAUGGGAGAUUGGGCAGAACAAUUUCGAUCGCUUGAUUCUAUCGCACAACAUGCUUACCAAUGUUGAGAGGUCUCUCUCCAUUCCGCCUUUACCAGAUAUCGACAUUCUCGACCUCAGUUAUAACAUGCUUGACGGGCCUGUUCCGCUUCCCCAAGCAACAUCUUUUGUUGUUCUUGAUUACUCUAACAACCGGUUCUCGUCCAUACCGCCGAACAUUUCUUCAUAUCUUCGAUCCGCCUCCUUCUUACAGCUAUCUCGAAAUCAUCUAAUUGGAAAUAUUCCAACUUCGAUUUGUGAGGCUGGCUCUCUCAAAGUCCUUGAUCUUUCUUACAACAGGUUUACUGGUUCGAUCCCGUCAUGCCUGAUCGAAGGCUACAACAACUUGUAUGCGUUGAAUCUAAGGGGGAACAGAUUGCUCCGUGGGACGACAUUGCCUAAUAAUAUUAGCCGCGAGUGUCCUCUUGAGGCGCUAAUUUUGAACGGCAAUGGGAUCGAAGGGCCGCUACCAAAGUCUUUGGCCAACUGCGGCUGGCUCAGGGUGCUGGACUUGGGGAACAAUCGGAUAGUCGACAGUUUCCCAUUUUGGUUGGGGAAUCUCUCAAUGCUCCAAGUCCUUAUCCUUGGCUCCAACCAAUUCUAUGGCUCUGUCGAACUUCCUCUGCAAGGUGAAAGAAGUGACUACCAUUUUCCAAGCCUGACAAUUCUUGACCUCUCCUCAAACAUUUUCACCGGUAACUUGUCAUGGAGCCUCUUCGAGAAUCUUACAGCAAUGAUGGUCACUAGCUCUGCGGGCACAGAAGUUUUGGCAUUGAUUUCUUACGAAUUUUUCAGUGAUUUUAAUGGUGCGAUUGGUUAUCUUGCUACAGCAUCGGUGAUUGACAAAGGGCAGAGCAUUACACUUGAAAAGAUCUUGACAGGAUUUACGCUGAUCGACCUCUCGAACAACCAAUUCCACGGUGCAAUCCCCGAGGUGAUCGGGAACCUCCGCUCGUUGCGAGCGCUAAACAUGUCGCACAAUGCCUUCACCGGAGGAAUCCCUUCUGGAUUUGGGGGCUUGGCACAGCU
RNAcentral lists this long non-coding RNA (19555 nucleotides) under Ananas comosus (pineapple). RNAcentral describes it as "long non-coding RNA (ACOM_LNC022058)". Lineage: Eukaryota; Viridiplantae; Streptophyta; Magnoliopsida; Poales; Bromeliaceae. The record is from RNAcentral.